CAGCAGCCGCGGGAAUACGGAGGGUGCAAGCGUUAAUCGGAAUUACUGGGCGUAAAGCGCACGCAGGCGGUUUGUUAAGUCAGAUGUGAAAUCCCCGAGCUUAACUUGGGAACUGCAUUUGAAACUGGCAAGCUAGAGUCUUGUAGAGGGGGGUAGAAUUCCAGGUGUAGCGGUGAAAUGCGUAGAGAUCUGGAGGAAUACCGGUGGCGAAGGCGGCCCCCUGGACAAAGACUGACGCUCAGGUGCGAAAGCGUGGGGAGCAAACAGGAUUAGAUACCCGUGUAGUCCCUGUCUCUUAUAC
This 301-nucleotide ribosomal RNA is filed under the name uncultured bacterium. RNAcentral describes it as "partial 16S ribosomal RNA". It matches the Rfam family "Bacterial small subunit ribosomal RNA", at positions 509 to 807 of the family's 1533-position model. The record is from RNAcentral.